GAUGAACGCUGGCGACGUGCUUAACACAUGCAAGUCGAACGAAGCACUUUAUUUGAUUUCCUUCGGGACUGAUUAUUUUGUGACUGAGUGGCGGACGGGUGAGUAACGCGUGGGUAACCUGCCUUGUACAGGGGGAUAACAGUUGGAAACGGCUGCUAAUACCGCAUAAGCGCACGGCAUCGCAUGAUGCAGUGUGAAAAACUCCGGUGGUAUAAGAUGGACCCGCGUUGGAUUAGCUAGUUGGUGAGGUAACGGCCCACCAAGGCGACGAUCCAUAGCCGACCUGAGAGGGUGACCGGCCACAUUGGGACUGAGACACGGCCCAAACUCCUACGGGAGGCAGCAGUGGGGAAUAUUGCACAAUGGGCGAAAGCCUGAUGCAGCGACGCCGCGUGAGCGAAGAAGUAUUUCGGUAUGUAAAGCUCUAUCAGCAGGGAAGAUAAUGACGGUACCUGACUAAGAAGCACCGGCUAAAUACGUG
This 481-nucleotide ribosomal RNA is filed under the name uncultured bacterium. RNAcentral describes it as "partial 16S ribosomal RNA". It matches the Rfam family "Bacterial small subunit ribosomal RNA", at positions 28 to 507 of the family's 1533-position model. The record is from RNAcentral.